GACGAACGCUGGCGGCGUGCUUAACACAUGCAAGUCGAAUGGAAAGGCCCUGCUUUUGUGGGGUGCUCGAGUGGCGAACGGGUGAGUAACACGUGAGUAACCUGCCCUUGACUUUGGGAUAACUUCAGGAAACUGGGGCUAAUACCGGAUAGGAGCUCCUGCUGCAUGGUGGGGGUUGGAAAGUUUCGGCGGUUGGGGAUGGACUCGCGGCUUAUCAGCUUGUUGGUGGGGUAGUGGCUUACCAAGGCUUUGACGGGUAGCCGGCCUGAGAGGGUGACCGGCCACAUUGGGACUGAGAUACGGCCCAGACUCCUACGGGAGGCAGCAGUGGGGAAUAUUGCACAAUGGGCGGAAGCCUGAUGCAGCAACGCCGCGUGCGGGAUGACGGCCUUAGGGUUGUAAACCGCUUUCGCCUGUGACGAAGCGUGAGUGACGGUAAUGGGUAAAGAAGCACCGGCUAACUACGUG
Molecule: ribosomal RNA, 468 nt
Filed under: uncultured bacterium
Lineage: Bacteria
Description: partial 16S ribosomal RNA
Rfam family: Bacterial small subunit ribosomal RNA
Source: RNAcentral